UGAGGAACAUGACCUUCGGCGGGGGAUAGCCGGCCCAACGGCCGGGUAAUACCGCGUACGACCAUACGGGGACAUCCCUGGAUGGUGAAAGCAGCAAUGCGCCGAUAGAGUGCCUCGCGGCCUAUCAGCUAGUUGGGUGGGGUAACGGCUCACCAAGGCAACGACGGGUAGCUGGUCUGAGAGGAUGGCCAGCCACAUUGGGACUGAGACACGGCCCAGACUCCGUAGGGACGG
This 234-nucleotide ribosomal RNA is filed under the name uncultured bacterium. Its description in RNAcentral is "partial 16S ribosomal RNA". It matches the Rfam family "Bacterial small subunit ribosomal RNA", at positions 118 to 348 of the family's 1533-position model. The record is from RNAcentral.